This 492-nucleotide ribosomal RNA is filed under the name uncultured bacterium. RNAcentral's name for it is "partial 16S ribosomal RNA". It matches the Rfam family "Bacterial small subunit ribosomal RNA", at positions 29 to 507 of the family's 1533-position model. The record is from RNAcentral.
AGUGAACGCUGGCGGUAGGCCUAACACAUGCAAGUCGAACGGCAGCACAGUAAGAGCUUGCUCUUACGGGUGGCGAGUGGCGGACGGGUGAGGAAUACAUCGGAAUCUACUUUUUCGUGGGGGAUAAUGUAGGGAAACUUACGCUAAUACCGCAUACGACCUACGGGUGAAAGCAGGGGAUCUUCGGACCUUGCGCGAUUGAAUGAGCCGAUGUCGGAUUAGCUAGUUGGCGGGGUAAAGGCCCACCAAGGCGACGAUCCGUAGCUGGUCUGAGAGGAUGAUCAGCCACACUGGAACGGAGACACGGUCCAGACUCCUACGGGAGGCGGCAGUGGGGAAUAUUGGACAAUGGGCGCAAGCCUGAUCCAGCCAUACCGCGUGGGUGAAGAAGGCCUUCGGGUUGUAAAGCCCUUUUGUUGGGAAAGAAAAGCAGCAGGUUAAUACCCCGCUGUUCCGACGGUACCCAAAGAAUAAGCACCGGCUAACUUCGUG